RNAcentral lists this ribosomal RNA (212 nucleotides) under uncultured Thermovirga sp. RNAcentral's name for it is "partial 16S ribosomal RNA". It matches the Rfam family "Bacterial small subunit ribosomal RNA", at positions 1175 to 1382 of the family's 1533-position model. The record is from RNAcentral. Lineage: Bacteria; Thermotogati; Synergistota; Synergistia; Synergistales; Thermovirgaceae.
UGGGAUGACGUCAAGUCAUCAUGGCCCUUAUGUCCCAGGGCGACACGACGCGCUACAAUGGCCGGCACAGCGGGAAGCGAGGGGGCGACCUUGAGCGGAUCCCUCAAAGCCGGUCUCAGUUCGGAUUGCAGUCUGGCAACUCGACUGCAUGAAGUUGGAAUCGCUAGUAAUCGUGGAUCAGCCAAGCCGCGGUGAAUACGUUCCCGGGCCUU